UCUAGUGGCGCGGGUGAUAUGUUGAAGACGAGAGCAAUCGUAUUUAAGUUUUCUUGUGUUUUUGCAUGUGUAUGGAAACUGCCAUCUCAUGAACUCUCCAAGCUGUAUCCGGCUCUGUUCUUUGUAUCACAUGGUCAUGUGUUUUUUAUGACUUUUAAAAGUUGCCAAAGGCUUUUGCAAGAAGUCCCAAAACAAUAUGAAACCCAACCUGCAGAAGAUGUUCCAAGCCACCUUCAUGGCUACAAAUUUGAAAGACUGUACAUUGCAGGGUAUUGAAAUGGGUCAUGUGUGUUUCUCUUAUUGAUGCCUUGGAGCCAAAGUUAAGCCACCCAAGAGAUGGAAAUAAGCUUCAGGUAUUUUUUUUUUUCUUGUUAUAUAGGAUCUGUUUCUGACUCAGGAAACACGUUUUAGGUAUUCACUUCUAGUCUUUACGGAGAAAUUUAUAAUUAAUUGUCAAGAAGUUACUAGAACUACUUAAUACUUUAAUGGGUACAGAUUGUUAGUAAUAAAAAAGCAUUGAAAGGGCAUAAUGAAUACACGUAAACUAGAAAAGAGUUUGAUGGUUUUAUUUUUAUAUACAAAAGCAAUCAUUAAUCGGUGGUUUUAUUUUUUUAAAGUUCUCGAGUUCCUCUUAUAAGGAAUGUUCACUAGUGGAAACCAAACAGUCUCUACUUAGAAAAAAGAAAAAACAAAUCGCCUCUUUCCUCCUUGAGAUUUUAGAUUUUAGUGCUGAGAGAUUUAGAAGCUUUGAGAAUGGUGAAUCAACAUUUCUUCAAGCCUCUUCUUCCUGGCUUUCACAGCCACUUGACAAUUCCUGUGGCUUUCUUCUUUAAGAAUAUAGAAGGAUGACAUGAGCAUAAGACGGCAGAGUUAAGAUCAGACGCAUCCAAGAAAACCUGGAAAGUGAAAAUAGAUGGCCAGAGACUCACCAACGGUUGGACAGAGUUUGCUCUCGCACAUGAUCUUCGAAUCGGCGACAUCAUUGUUUUCAGACAAGAGAGAUCCAUGACUUUCCACGUUACAAUGUUGGGACCUAGUUGUUAUGAGAUUCAAUAUGUGUCUUGUCUAGACAACCAGAACAACCUCGUAUCUUCUUUUUCAGGGAAGAUUCAAAGGAAGAAGAAAGAAGCAGAGUCUUCACUAGAUCUCUCUUGUUUCAUUGCUAAUGUCACGCCUUCGAAUCUACGUUAUGACUCACUGGUAUUCUACAAUUUUAACUCAGAAGAAACUCUUAUACUAGGGUCUGAUUAAGAUCAAACUCAUGUUUUAUUGUAAUAUAUUUUCAGAAUCU
Arabidopsis lyrata subsp. lyrata is the source of this 1291-nucleotide long non-coding RNA. RefSeq lists it as uncharacterized. The record is from RefSeq and is a predicted model, not a curated record. The transcript is spliced from 3 exons. Lineage: Eukaryota; Viridiplantae; Streptophyta; Magnoliopsida; Brassicales; Brassicaceae.